Molecule: ribosomal RNA, 468 nt
Filed under: uncultured bacterium
Lineage: Bacteria
Description: partial 16S ribosomal RNA
Rfam family: Bacterial small subunit ribosomal RNA
Source: RNAcentral
GACGAACGCUGGCGGCGUGCUUAACACAUGCAAGUCGAACGGAAAGGCCCUGCUUUUGUGGGGUGCUCGAGUGGCGAACUGGUGAGUAACACGUGAGUAACCUGCCCUUGACUUUGGGAUAACUUCAGGAAACUGGGGCUAAUACCGGAUAGGAUCUCCUGCUGCAUGGUGGGGGUUGGAAAGUUUCGGCGGUUGGGGAUGGACUCGCGGCUUAUCAGCUUGUUGGUGGGGUAGUGGCUUACCAAGGCUUUGACGGGUAGCCGGCCUGAGAGGGUCCCCGGACACAUUGGGACUGAGAUACGGCCCAGACUCCUACGGGAGGCAGCAGUGGGGAAUAUUGCACAAGGGGCGGAAGCCUGAUGCAGCAAAGCAGCGUGCGGGAUGACGGCCUUCGGGUUGUAAACCGCUGUCGCCUGUGACGAAGCGUGAGUGACGGUAAUGGGUAAAGAAGCACCGGCUAACUACGUG